RNAcentral lists this ribosomal RNA (322 nucleotides) under uncultured eukaryote. RNAcentral describes it as "partial 18S ribosomal RNA". It matches the Rfam family "Eukaryotic small subunit ribosomal RNA", at positions 1470 to 1796 of the family's 1831-position model. The record is from RNAcentral.
CCCUUAGAUGUUCUGGGCUGCACGCGCGCUACACUGAUGCGUUCAACGAGUUUAUGACCUUGCCCGAUAGGAUUGGGUAAUCUUUUUAAAUCGCAUCGUGAUGGGGAUAGAUUAUUGCAAUUAUUAAUCUUCAACGAGGAAUUCCUAGUAAGCGCGAGUCAUCAGCUCGUGCUGAUUACGUCCCUGCCCUUUGUACACACCGCCCGUCGCACCUACCGAUUGAAUGGUCCGGUGAAAUCUCGGGACGGCGGCUUGGUCGCUUGCGUCCGACUGCUGAAACUUGAUUAAACCAUAUCAUUUAGAGGAAGGUGUAGUCGUAACA